UGGCUCAUUCAGUAAAGAAUCUGCCUGCAAUGCAGAAGACCCAGGUUCGAUCCCUGG
This 57-nucleotide transfer RNA is filed under the name Bos taurus (domestic cattle). It matches the Rfam family "tRNA", at positions 8 to 63 of the family's 71-position model. Rfam says of the family: Transfer RNA (tRNA) molecules are approximately 80 nucleotides in length. Their secondary structure includes four short double-helical elements and three loops (D, anti-codon, and T loops). Lineage: Eukaryota; Metazoa; Chordata; Mammalia; Artiodactyla; Bovidae. The record is from Rfam by way of RNAcentral.